UAGGGAAUCUUCGGCAAUGGACGAAAGUCUGACCGAGCAACGCCGCGUGAGUGAAGAAGGUUUUCGGAUCGUAAAACUCUGUUGUUAGAGAAGAACAAGGACGUUAGUAACUGAACGUCCCCUGACGGUAUCUAACCAGAAAGCCACGGCUAACUACGUGCCAGCAGCCGCGGUAAUACGUAGGUGGCAAGCGUUUUCCGGAUUUAUUGGGCGUAAAGCGAGCGCAGGCGGUUUCUUAAGUCUGAUGUAAAAGCCCCCGGCUCAACGGGGAAGGGUAAUUGGAAACUGGGAGACUUGAGUGCAGAAGAGGAGAGUGGAAUUCGAUGUGUAGCGGUAAAAUGCGUAGAGAUAUGGAGGAACACGAGUGGGGAGGGCGGCUCUCUGGUCUGUAACGGACGCUGAGGCUCAAAAGGGUGGGGAGAAAACAGG
This 429-nucleotide ribosomal RNA is filed under the name Gemmatimonadota bacterium. RNAcentral's name for it is "Gemmatimonadetes bacterium partial 16S ribosomal RNA". It matches the Rfam family "Bacterial small subunit ribosomal RNA", at positions 355 to 776 of the family's 1533-position model. Lineage: Bacteria; Pseudomonadati; Gemmatimonadota. The record is from RNAcentral.